This 229-nucleotide ribosomal RNA is filed under the name uncultured bacterium. RNAcentral describes it as "partial 16S ribosomal RNA". It matches the Rfam family "Bacterial small subunit ribosomal RNA", at positions 568 to 796 of the family's 1533-position model. The record is from RNAcentral.
UCCGUAGGCGGGCUAAUAAGUCAGGGGUGAAAUCCCACAGCUCAACUGUGGAACUGCCUUUGAUACUGUUAGUCUUGAGUUAUAUGGAAGUAGAUAGAAUGUGUAGUGUAGCGGUGAAAUGCAUAGAGAUUACACAGAACACCGAUUGCGAAGGCAGUCUACUACGUAUAUACUGACGCUAAUGGACGAAAGCGUGGGGAGCGAACAGGAUUAGAUACCCUGGUAGUCC